This 279-nucleotide ribosomal RNA is filed under the name uncultured archaeon. RNAcentral describes it as "partial 16S rRNA". It matches the Rfam family "Archaeal small subunit ribosomal RNA", at positions 1047 to 1325 of the family's 1478-position model. The record is from RNAcentral.
GAGACCCACGCCCACAGUUGCCAGCGUAUCCUCAGGGAUGACGGGUACACUGUGGGGACCGCCGCUGCUAAAGCGGAGGAAGGAAUGGGCAACGGUAGGUCAGUAUGCCCCGAAUGCCCCGGGCUACACGCGAGCUACAAUGACUGGUACAAUGGGUAUCUACCCCGAAAGGGGAUGGAAAUCUCCUAAAGCCAGCCCUAGUUCGGAUCGAGGGCUGUAACUCGCCCUCGUGAAGCUGGAAUCCGUAGUAAUCGCAUAUCAAAAUGGCGCGGUGAAUAU